This 497-nucleotide ribosomal RNA is filed under the name uncultured bacterium. Its description in RNAcentral is "partial 16S ribosomal RNA". It matches the Rfam family "Bacterial small subunit ribosomal RNA", at positions 28 to 507 of the family's 1533-position model. The record is from RNAcentral.
GAUGAACGCUGGCGGCGUGCCUAAUACUUGCAAGUCGAGCGAACAGACGAGGAGCUUGCUCCUCUGACGUUAGCGGCGGACGGGUGAGUAACACGUGGAUAACCUACCUAUAAGACUGGGAUAACUUCGGGAAACCGGAGCUAAUACCGGAUAAUAUAUUGAACCGCAUGGUUCAAUAGUGAAAGACGGUUUUGCUGUCACUUAUAGAUGGAUCCGCGCCGCAUUAGCUAGUUGGUAAGGUAACAGCUUACCAAGGCAACGAUGCGUAGCCGACCUGAGAGGGUGAUCGGCCACACUGGAACUGAGACACGGUCCAGACUCCUACGGGAGGCAGCAGUAGGGAAUCUUCCGCAAUGGGCGAAAGCCUGACGGAGCAACGCCGCGUGAGUGAUGAAGGUCUUCGGAUCGUAAAACUCUGUUAUUAGGGAAGAACAAAUGUGUAAGUAACUAUGCACGUCUUGACGGUACCUAAUCAGAAAGCCACGGCUAACUACGUG